AUACGGAGGGUGCAAGCGUUAAUCGGAAUUACUGGGCGUAAAGCGCGCGUAGGCGGUUUGUUAAGUCGGAUGUGAAAGCCCUAGGCUCAACCUGGGAAUGGCAUUCGAUACUGCCUGACUAGAGUAUGGUAGAGGGAAGUGGAAUUUCCGGUGUAGCGGUGAAAUGCGUAGAUAUCGGAAGGAACACCAGUGGCGAAGGCGACUUCCUGGGCCAAUACUGACGCUGAGGUGCGAAAGCGUGGGGAGCAAACAGGAUUAGAAACCCCAGUAGUCC
RNAcentral lists this ribosomal RNA (274 nucleotides) under uncultured bacterium. Its description in RNAcentral is "partial 16S ribosomal RNA". It matches the Rfam family "Bacterial small subunit ribosomal RNA", at positions 523 to 796 of the family's 1533-position model. The record is from RNAcentral.